Cavia porcellus (domestic guinea pig) is the source of this 8261-nucleotide long non-coding RNA. RefSeq lists it as uncharacterized. The transcript is spliced from 4 exons. Lineage: Eukaryota; Metazoa; Chordata; Mammalia; Rodentia; Caviidae. The record is from RefSeq and is a predicted model, not a curated record.
CUGGGGGGCGCCUCCCCGCAGACCCGGAGCGCGCGGGUGGAGCGCGUUUCGGCGCGCGGGGCGGGUCCCUGGCGGCUCUCCGCAGGCGGGUGCGAGGCGCCGGGAGGCCCCUCCCGCUCCUUCUCGUCCCACUACGUUCACUGCCAGUCCUCCCCCACAGUUCUAUCAUAUGGUUCCCUGACCAGGAACAGCAGACGAGAGACUCCUGGGGCUGGUUCUCAGUUUUGGGUCCCCUGCUGUUCAGGACCAGGACCGGACUGCAUCCUGCAUUAAUUCCUCACUUCUACACUCAGGAGCUGUAAGUUUGUCACUACCAGUUCACAAACAACACCAACCAAAUUUACCACAGCCCUCACAGGAAAUGUCGACACUGCCAGAUUCAUCACUGACAGAAAAUUGCUGCCGAAGACUGAGAGAGCUCAGGGCCAGCAGCCCCCUUUGUGGGUGUCCGUCUCAGAGUUCAAGUUCCACUAAAACUCCCAGGUAAGACAUUUUCUAUAUUUGUGGACAUAGAGGCCAUAUAUACAGAGUUCUUCCUGAGUUUUCAGGCUGCUAUAUUAAGUCCUCAAUCUCUAUGAUGGGUUAUUGAUGUCAACCUAUGCCAUUUAUAAACAGGGCUUAUUUCGUGCAGGUCCCAGUCCUAAAUCUUAAAAUGCUUUCACUCCCUUGUUUUUAUGCAGGCUCACUUAGACACACUGAGUCCUCAGCAGCUUCCACCUGUUUUCACUGGUGGACCUCUCCUCAGUGAUAUAAGACCACCCCCUUCCUUUCUUAUUCACCAAUUUCUCAGGUAACCCUGGUCAAGACUGACAGAUACAUUUUGUCUUCUCACUUUGUUUAUACUUUUUCAGGACACAUAAAAGCCUUUCCCACAACCAGGUAAACUGCUGAUACAACCGGAUUACAGCGACCCAUGCCUAAAUCAAAGCUGCUAGGCUGCCAUCUGGUUUCAUAUCACUCAGGCUAAGAGGUGCCCUUCCAGCCCUAAAUCUGAUCACUCUGAGUGGUCAUCUCAUCUUCUGUCACCCACCUGUCUCCAUUUCAUGAAGGCCUUGCAGCCACAGUUAACAGGCUAAGUCAUGUUUUGUUAUCCACUUUGGUUCCUAAUUUCUUACGUUCUAUUAAUGAUCAUUUUUGCAGCAGGACUCUUGACAGUCUUUCCCAAAGACUCCCACAUCAUGCGUAAGAUAAUCUUCAUAAUGUUCUAUGUGAUGACUGUCGUAGUUCUUUCUACCUCAGCUGUCUGGUUAAACGUGACAUCCCUAAAAGCCUAAGCCCUUACUUUCCCUAUACUGGUAGAGCCACCACCUUCCUACUCCCCUUAUUUUUUCCAGUUCAACUCUUAAACCAGAGACAAGUUUUACACACCUACCCUCUUAAGUUUUAUGCUUUCAGAUGGGGGAGUAAUCACCUCUCAUAACAACAUUUCUCCUAACCUCACACUUAAUUUUCAGAAUUCUGCCUUACCGUGGAACAUGUCUAAAUCAAAGGCACCUUUCCCUCUACCUCACCUGGGUCUUAAAUAUGACAGUGCCAUGUCUCCUCAUAACAUCUUGUCUCUUUGUUUUUCCAGUCUAACAUACAUACAUUCACCAGUGAAGUUGUCCUGGCUAAAACACCUGGCACCAGCUUCUAUCUGGGCAUUAACCAUCAUCCUGUCAACUCCCCUAGACCCCAGUACAGUGCCCUCAGCCAGUAGUAAGUAGUUAAAGAGAGAAAUCUUUGCCCCUUUUCAUAAUAAUAAUCAUAAGAUGGGAUAUGAAAGAGUUUUGGCCCAGGCCGGACUCUGUAGUCAGGAAAGCCUCAACCGGAAGCAGGAAGCCCCUCUCUCCCCCGCCCCUAGGAAUUUACCUGUGACACCAUCUUCCCGCCCCUGGGAAUUUACCUAUGGCACCAAACCUAGGACCAAUGGGCUACCUGUGUAUCCCUAAUGCCUCCCUUAGGUUCCACCCCAAACCGAGGCUACUUAUGUGCCUCACUCCAUGUGUUCCACGGAGAUCGCUGACCCCGGGGUGGAGAUGCCAUGCCCCAGGGGAUUGGGGUGUCUCUCCCUGCAUUCUCAAAAUAAAGGUCAUUUAUAUUUCAUACUUCUUAUCUUUUCAGCCGCCACCGGUCCUUCCCCACAGUUCUGUCACUCUUUAUGAUGAUCAUUCAGAGUGAUUUCUCCAAAGGUCACUAGGUCACCAAGUCUGUAAAUUACAAUCUACUUUGACCCAGGACAUUGUGUGCAGAUGCAGUUUUACAUGAAAAAUUGGAAAUGUAAGUCAAUAGAGAAAUAUACAAAUCAGUGCAAUGGUGAGUUUUAAAGUCAAGCUUAAAGUUCAAAUGGAAUUCACCCAGAAGCAGUAAAAAUUUUUUAAUUGAACUUUGAGAUUUUAUGCUGGCCUUGAUAAAUAAGGUUCUUUUUUGUUUAACCUUUACUCAUCUGUACUACCAUUGAACACUGUAAAAAAGACUGAAAGACCGCAGAAACUUAAAAGUAGAAUAUUCAACAUUUUAGCCCUCCAGGAGUAACCCUGAGAAAAUUAAAACUAUCUAUCUCCCCCUCACAUGUGCUUGCAGGGUCUCUGUUUACUUAGUAACACCUGAUUUUUAAGCAGAUAUGUUGUGUGGUGUCUUAUACAGGUAUAAUUUUAUUAACUAGUCCUCCAUAUGUGGACAUUUAGGUUAUGAAAUAUUAUAUUGAGAAACAGCAAGGUUAAGUCAUAAAUAACUGAAUGCUUACUAAUGUUACAUUGCACUUUUGAACAAAGUCAGAUCUGAAUACUUUCUGUUCUCAUGACUCUUAAUCAAUAGAAAUGCAGGAAAGCAUCAUUAAGAAGGAUCCUGCUUUGUAGAGGACCACCUGAAUGACUCUUGAAAGAAAAGUAAUUGUCUCCAUUUUAGCCAAACCUGGCCCUAUUUCCAUGUAUUGAUAUGUACAGAGCUGGUUAAAUUUUGUCUUUAUCCCCUCAAUUGGCUUUAAUCAAUGCAAAUGGGUCUAGUCAGAUGCUGAUAUGUAGUUGUUAAAACAGUGCAAAGGUCAGUGCAGCUUGUAGCUCUCAAGUAAUUGUGUGAGCAAGGCUGAGUGAUCCCAUGCUGUUGGCAGAGAAUGAGCCUCAAGAAAAGCCAUGACUUCUCAGGACUUGCAAUUAUACAUCAAAACUGAAGCACUGGCCCCAACACUACUGUCCCAAUUUGUGACAUGUAGAUUACACCUUCUGCAUAUCUUUUUCUCUGCAUAUUGCAGAGGUGAAUUCUGGCCUUCCUCCCUGGCCCAGCUCACAGCACUUAUGUACUUCAUGCUGCUCUCGGGUCACUCACCCCUGAGCCACUCCCUUCCUCACGAAUCCCGUUUUGGCCCUAGGUCAAGACCUUUGUACCAAUUAGUCAUUAUUCUGUCUGGCUCUAAGACUCCCUUGGCUCCCCCAGCAUCUUGGAUAUGUAUUUGUGUCAUGGGUUGCACUGGAAGUGGUAGAUUGGAAUUAAGUUGCUAGAAUAUCAAUAACUUUUCCUUGGGAUUACAAAUGAAAGCUUCACCAACCGUGAUGAGGUCUGGGAAGGGCUUUCUAUAGUGUUCAUUCCUGUUCUUCCCAGGUUCAUUGUGUGCUUUAAUUCUGUUCCAUGUGUCUCUCAUUCUUUUCUUGGGAACCAGUUGCCAGCAAUAAGUAGCAGAGCAUCAGAGGCUGUACUCAAGACUUUGAGCACAAUUCUGGGUCACAUCUCCUAAUGUUCUUUCCAUCAAAGAAAAUAUCAUGAGAAACUCAAAGUCCAUGGAUGCGUAAUACACUCCCUAAUUCAUGAAAAGUAUUAUAAAAUGUAAAAGGAUGAGAGAGAGAGAGAGAGAGAGAGAGAGAGAGAGGAAGAAGAGGAGGAGAAAGGGGAGGAAGGGGAGGAGGAAAUUCAUUUCACCAUCCCCUUUUUCAACUCUCACUGCAACCCCACCCCACGCCACCUGGGGAAAGGUGUUUCUCUCUUCCCUGAACUCAGCCAGCUCCUUCCCUCUCUGAGGCUGUUUGCACUAUAUUACACUCUGCUAUCAAUGUACUGGUAGCUUUAGCACUUCAAUUUUCCUUUCCAGAGGACUCCAGUGACAUGAUAGCUGUUCUUUACCUUUAAUUUUUUUCAGUCCUUUAUUUUAUUUUAUUUUUAAUGAUCUAAACCCUUAGAGCAUCCACUGACUUAAGGAUAGAUCUGAAAGCCUUCAGAUUCACCUUCAAAUCAAUAAAAAACUUUUAUUUUCCUUCAGUACUGUGAAACCUGCCAAAAGAUAAAAAACUAAUUAAUUUGCUUUGCAUUUGCUCAAUAGAAAUAAUGGGCAGGAGGCAACAAAUGAGAAAUAAAUUUAAUAGAACUUUGAAAAUUGGGAAUUAAGAUGAAUUGGAUUCGGUGCAUAUCUGAAUUUAACAGCUUUUAUUUUCUAAGGCUUUUAAGCUAAUUUUAUUUUUCUUUUGUUAUAUCAUGACAUGCAGGGCAGUCAGUGGACUGUGAAUUUGCCUAAUGUACUACAGACAUCAUGUGGAGUAGCCCCUAACUCUGCAAAGAGGAAAAGGGCAAACAUAAAUGCAGGCUUUGGGGUGCUAGAUCCAGGAGACCCUCUGCUCUCAGGUUCAUGGGUGAGGGUAACUGGUUGGGGGAGUGGGACUCAAGUCAUUGUACUUUUUGCUUAUGAGAGAAGGGAAGGAGAAAGGGACUGGGGCUUUGGGAAGAAGUUCUGCUGCUUCCUUCUUCCACAGGGGUAGGGGAAGAUUCAGGAACCACUUUUCUGGUGGGAUAGGAGGAGAGAGAGGCUUGCCAACCAUGCCCCGUGGACCCAAAAUAAUAGGGCAGGGCUGUCUGCACAGCUCAGGAGCACAUCAUGGUUGUCAUCAUGAUGAACAUUAUGGCGGCGGUUAGCAGGUCAGAGUCAGUAGUAAAUGCUUCACCACUUGAGCUCAUGUAGCUCUCACAGGAACCCUGGCAGUAAGGACUGUCAUCAUUUUCAAGUUAAAAAUGAGUUCAUGGAGAAGUAGACAGCUGUUGAAGGAGUCACCCAGGAAGUGAGACAUUUGAGCUUAAGUGCGUCUGACAGUGGUCCUUGUGUGCUUAACCAUUAAGCUCCACUGCCUACAGCAGAGGGAUGAAGAAUCCUGGCGAGAGGCACUAAAUCCUGAAAGACUUGGGAUGAUUUUGGAGUACAGAGCUCAGUGGUAAAAUGUAAGUUCCCCCAUAAGUAACCAAGAUUUAAAGGUGUAAAAAGAAGCCAAGAAAAAUCCUGGCUUUCUGUUUGAACAGAAGAAAAAGCUGCCUUUUCAUUAGUUGUUGUAACUACUGCUUUGUUACUGGAGAUUGAACCAUGGGCCUUCUCAGUGAGCAAUAUCUCCAUCUAUUUUUAUUUUUUAUAUUUUAUUUUGAUUCAGUGUCUCAUCAAGUUGCUAAAUUGGCCAGGUUGCUCUUGAACUUGCAAUUCUUCUGUUAUACACUAACAAAAAGAGCUUCGUUAUGUUUGUGUUAUGUUUGCCAAUGUCCAAGUUAUAUGACCAAAUUACCUGUAGCACUGUCACACUGUUCUGUAUGAGCCAUCUUCCUGGGUGACCUAAUUGAUAUGUUAACCAUUGCUCCCCUCUGCAAAGGACUGUAAAUUCCUGGGAAUCUGAACUAAUUGAUAUGUUAAUCAUUGCUGCCCUCUGCAAAGGACAGAUGUUAUCUAAAAUUGAGUGCUAAAAUUAGUUGACAGACGAUUGUAAAUUCCUGAUAGACCUCUCUGUCCUCUGCAAAGGGAAACACAGGUCUUCCUCAUUCCUUAGCGGGUCAAGGACUUCCUUAUUUCCUGAUCUACGCCCAUAAGCCAUUCACUUUGUAAUUGCUCUUUCUUAAAAAAGUCUGUGAAAGUUUUGAGCCAGUUACACAGCUUUGUGAACUCCAACUGCCCUGUGUCCCUGGUAUCAGCCACAAUUUUAAAUCUUCAGCCACAUGGAGUGUUCCAUGCAACACUCGGCCACUGCCAGCACCCUUGCGACCUGGACCUCUUGCCUGCUCAUCCCUGCCACUAUGGAGGACAUGAACAAGUACAGCAUUAUAGAAGAGUUCACCAAGGGGUCUAAGGUCAAUGCAAGCAAGAACUAGCAGGAUGACAGUAAGGUGUUUACUGGAAACUUGAGCUGGAAUACAAGCAAGAAAUAUCUGACUGAAUGUUCCUCUUGAUUUGGGGAAGUUGUAGACCUCACAAUUAAAACAGACCCAGUCACUGUGUAAGACUGGUGUCGCGAAGAAGACCCCAAGGACUCAGCUCUCAUGUAAGAACAAAGGGGUUUUAUUUUCCGUGCGCACGGGGUCCUCCAAACAAGUGGGAAUGGAGAACCCCGUACUCGAGCAGGGCUGUGUCUUUUAAGGCCUAAAACCGCAAAGCAAGCAAGCAUUGUUACAGAAGCCAAUCAUAGCGAUUAGAGCUGGGCUGAUUGUGAGCUGUCCUUAAGGGAUUGGGUUUCUUUGUGGGGCGAGGGGGGUGUCUCCCGAGAAGGGGUGGCACUUCUUAGGAACGGGCGUUUGUCCCAUGACUGAGAAAACAGCCUGUUUAUCUCAAAUGGCCCAGAAACACUGGGUCCUGUGGGGGUGGAGCUGCACAUAGUUUUGAAACUCACACCACGAGGCCUCCUGAAUAGAAAAGUCUAACAGCAAUUAACACCCUUAAUUACCUUACUUUAGCACCACAACCAUUCUAUUUGUAGAGAGCAACAAUGGUUAGCAUAUCAAUUAGGUAAGAUUUUACAAUUCUUUACAGAGGAGAGCAUUGAUUAACAUAUCAAUCCUUUGCCCAGAGGAAAAGGAAGACACACAUUUACAGUAAGGCCAAGUUACAGGUAUUGCUAUGAUAUAAAUGAAGCUACUUUUGUGAAGAAGGUACAAUCUAAUACAAUCUGAUGCAAUUAACACAAUUUGUGACAGGGCUACCGGGUAGGGAAGACCCGGGUUGUCAGGAGCUAUUACCUCAGGCCUUUGUUUUAUGGCCUUUAGGAAGUUAAAACUUAACCUAGUUAGAUUUGAAGGGAGAAGGGGAGGGGAAGCAGCAGAUGGAACGAGCUUUCUUGGUCUCUUCAACUGGAAGACCAAGAGGACUUGGAUUUGUGCUUUUCAAAGAUGUUGCUAGUACUGAUAAAGUUUUGGAACUAAAAGUCCACAAACUAAGUGGCCCAGAAAGGCCAAAGUUUUAAAAGAGAAAGAACCCCCUAAAAACAUGUUAGUGGAUGGAUUGGACCCAGAUACUUCUGAACAAAUUAAAGAAUAUUUUGGGGGAACAGGGACAGCCCAUCCUGGUGCAGGCAUAUACACCAAGCUAGGCAGGAACAGAGACAGCAGGUCGUGGUGCAGGCACACUGGCCUAUGCAGGAACUGUGGAAAAGUCCAAAGCAUCAAUGAGAAGCCAGCAGCUGGUAAAGUAGGUGAGCCAGUGUUGUGCUCUGGCCCAGAAGCAUGUGGAACAGAAGCAGGAAGGGGAUGCCACUUUAUAUCAAAGGGCUCUGGGAGAGCUCGUGCAUUAGAAGACCAGUCUCAGCACCUAUCUCUAGAGGCCAAGAUCAGCACCAUACCCAACACAAAUACCAAGUUGCCUGGAGUACAUAGCACAUUUCUGGGAUCUAACGUGGACACUACCAUAGAACAGGGGACACCAAAGGACUCUACUACUUUUAUUUUCAUGUUUGUCUGAUUGGUUAUUCUUUUUCUGCCUGGUUGGGGGCUUUGGGUUUUUUGGUGAUUAUUUUUGUUUUCUCUUUUACUUUUUUCAUUAUUAUAUUCUUUAUUUUUCACUAUUUGAGUUUCUUACCUUUCUUCUGGGUUUCAUCUACUUAUAUUCAUUCUCUCUUCAAUUAUAUCUUAUUGUUUUUCAUGUGAGUAAACACUGUUUCUUCUCUUUCAGGUUCACUUCAAUACUACAUUUCUCCUUCAUUCUUUCUCUCCUGUGUCCUCCAGUUUUGCAACUGGGUCAGUCUUUGAGUGAUCAUCCCUUGCUCUCCAGCCUUGCUCCUAUUAUAUUUGACCACUUUUGACUCUCUAAUUUGUCUCCCUUUCCUCUAAAUGUCUCCACCCCCCAUAGGGUAAAAUCACUCCACUGAGGGAGAAUUCAUUGCAUACAAGUUCCUGAUAUAUAUUGUGUAUGUUGGAAUUCAUUAUAUAACUGUAGACUUUGCUCCUGUCAUUAAACGUAUCAGGUUAAUAGUUACCACAGUUUGUGAGCAGCUAGGCUGUACUUGAGACUACUGUUACUGCUAAAUAUUAAACUAGCCAGGAUAUCAUAUAUGUUAUAA